This 87-nucleotide ribosomal RNA is filed under the name Cronobacter sakazakii. RNAcentral's name for it is "partial 23S ribosomal RNA". Lineage: Bacteria; Pseudomonadati; Pseudomonadota; Gammaproteobacteria; Enterobacterales; Enterobacteriaceae. The record is from RNAcentral.
AGGUGAUAGGCCGGGUGUGUAAGCGCAGCGAUGCGUUGAGCUAACCGGUACUAAUGAACCGUGAGGCUUAACCUUACAACGCCAAAG